RNAcentral lists this ribosomal RNA (219 nucleotides) under Triticum aestivum (bread wheat). RNAcentral's name for it is "partial small subunit ribosomal RNA". The record is from RNAcentral. Lineage: Eukaryota; Viridiplantae; Streptophyta; Magnoliopsida; Poales; Poaceae.
AUGACCCCUCAGUCGGAGCCCAUCCACUUCACCCUGCAGCCAUCCUCGUACGAGAUCUUCACAUUUGCUCCGGUGGCAGGAGGCGCCUCCCACUUUGCGCCGGUCGGUGUGGUUGACAUGCUCAACUGCGGUGGCACCAUUGCUGAUGUGGUUGUCGGCGGCGAUGGUGGCGCGGAGGUGAUGGUGAAGGUGAAGGGGGCGGGGCGGCUGGUGGUCUAG